Molecule: ribosomal RNA, 253 nt
Filed under: uncultured bacterium
Lineage: Bacteria
Description: partial 16S ribosomal RNA
Rfam family: Bacterial small subunit ribosomal RNA
Source: RNAcentral
CACGUAGGGGACGAGCGUUGUCCGGAAUCAUUGGGCGUAAAGCGCGCGUAGGCGGCCCGGAAAGUCGGAUGUGAAAUCCCGGGGCUCAACCCCGGGCCUGCAUCCGAUACUGUCCUGCUCGAGUACUGGAGAGGAGAUUGGAAUUUACGGUGUAGCAGUGAAAUGCGUAGAUAUCGUAAGGAAGACCAGUGGCGAAGGCGAAUCUCUGGACAGUUACUGACACUGAGGCACGAAGGCCAGGGGAGCAAACGGG